GUGGGGAAUAUUGCACAAUGGGCGCAAGCCUGAUGCAGCAACGCCGCGUGAGGGACGACGGCCUUCGGGUUGUAAACCUCUUUUAGCAGGGAAGAAGCGAAAGUGACGGUACCUGCAGAAAAAGCACCGGCUAACUACGUGCCAGCAGCCGCGGUAAUACGUAGGGUGCAAGCGUUGUCCGGAAUUAUUGGGCGUAAAGAGCUCGUAGGCGGUUUGUCGCGUCUGCUGUGAAAUCCCGAGGCUCAACCUCGGGCCUGCAGUGGGUACGGGCAGACUAGAGUGCGGUAGGGGAGAUUGGAAUUCCUGGUGUAGCGGUGGAAUGCGCAGAUAUCAGGAGGAACACCGAUGGCGAAGGCAGAUCUCUGGGCCGCUACUGACGCUGAGGAGCGAAAGCAUGGGGAGCGAACAGGAUUAGAUACCCUAGUAGUCC
RNAcentral lists this ribosomal RNA (430 nucleotides) under uncultured bacterium. RNAcentral describes it as "partial 16S ribosomal RNA". It matches the Rfam family "Bacterial small subunit ribosomal RNA", at positions 354 to 796 of the family's 1533-position model. The record is from RNAcentral.